RNAcentral lists this ribosomal RNA (2506 nucleotides) under Rhodococcus (subgen. Prescottella) equi. RNAcentral describes it as "Rhodococcus hoagii partial 23S ribosomal RNA". It matches the Rfam family "Bacterial large subunit ribosomal RNA", at positions 573 to 2925 of the family's 2925-position model. The record is from RNAcentral. Lineage: Bacteria; Bacillati; Actinomycetota; Actinomycetes; Mycobacteriales; Nocardiaceae.
GUCAGAGCCUGCGCCACUUCGGUGUGGUGGGUGAUGGCGUGCCUUUUGAAGAAUGAGCCUGCGAGUUAGCGGCAUGUCGCGAGGUUAACCCGUGUGGGGUAGCCGUAGCGAAAGCGAGUCCGAAUAGGGCGUUUGUAGUGGGCAUGUUCUAGACCCGAAGCGGAGUGAUCUACCCAUGGCCAGUGAAGCGACGGUAAGACGUCGUGGAGGCCGAACCCACUUAGGUUGAAAACUGAGGGGAUGAGCUGUGGGUAGGGUGAAAGGCCAAUCAAAACUCCGUGAUAGCUGGUUCUCCCCGAAAUGCAUUUAGGUGCAGCGUCGCGUGUUUCACUCUGGAGGUAGAGCUACUGGAUGGCCGAUGGGCCCCACAAGGUUACUGACGUCAGCCAAACUCCGAAUGCCAGAGUGUGAGAGCGCGGCAGUGAGACUGCGGGGGAUAAGCUUCGUAGUCGAGAGGGAAACAGCCCAGAUCGCCGGCUAAGGCCCCUAAGCGUGUACUAAGUGGAAAGGAUGUGGGGUCGCGAAGACAACCAGGAGGUUGGCUUAGAAGCAGCCACCCUUGAAAGAGUGCGUAAUAGCUCAUGGUCAAGUGAUCCUGCGCCGACAAUGUAGCGGGGCUCAAGUACACCGCCGAAGCCGCGGCAUUCACAUAACACCCAUGCGGGUCUACGGGCCUGUGUGCAGUGGUGUGGAUGGGUAGGGGAGCGUCGUGCAGCCAUGGAAGCGCCGGAGUGAUCCAGGUGUGGAGGCUGCACGAGUGAGAAUGCAGGCAUGAGUAGCGAAAGACGAGUGAGAAACUCGUCCGCCGAAUGACCAAGGGUUCCUGGGCCAGGUUAAUCCGCCCAGGGUGAGUCGGGACCUAAGGCGAGGCCGACAGGCGUAGUCGAUGGACAACGGGUUGAUAUUCCCGUACCCGUGUGAACGCGCCCCUGGUGAAUCAGUGAUGCUAAGCGCCCUGAAGCCGCCUUCGAACCUUCGGGUUCUCCGGUGUGUGGAUGCGCGUGAACCGAUCUGGUAGUAGCCAAGCGAUGGGGUGACGCAGGAAGGUAGCUGAGCCAGUCAGUGGUAAUACUGGUGUAAGCGUGUAGGGCGUGACCUAGGCAAAUCCGGGUCACAUACAGCCUGAGACGUGAUGCGUAGCCGAUUGAGGCGAAUUCAGUGAUCCUAUGCUGCCGAGAAAAGCCUCUAGCGAGCUUUCACACGGCCCGUACCCCAAACCGACACAGGUGGUCAGGUAGAGAAUACUAAGGCGAUCGAGAUAACUGUGGUUAAGGAACUCGGCAAAAUGCCCCCGUAACUUCGGGAGAAGGGGGCCUCGUCUGGUGACGGAACUUGCUUCCUGAGCUGGGUGGGGCCGCAGAGACCAGAGAGAAGCGACUGUUUACUAAAAACACAGGUCCGUGCGAAGUCGUAAGACGAUGUAUACGGACUGACGCCUGCCCGGUGCUGGAAGGUUAAGAGGACCGGUUAGCCAGUAAUGGCGAAGCUGAGAAUUUAAGCCCCAGUAAACGGCGGUGGUAACUAUAACCAUCCUAAGGUAGCGAAAUUCCUUGUCGGGUAAGUUCCGACCUGCACGAAUGGCGUAACGACUUCUCUGCUGUCUCAACCACAGACUCGGCGAAAUUGCAUUACGAGUAAAGAUGCUCGUUACGCGCGGCAGGACGAAAAGACCCCGGGACCUUCACUAUAGCUUGGUAUUGGUGUUCGGUUCGGUUUGUGUAGGAUAGGUGGGAGACUGUGAAGCGGGCACGCCAGUGUUCGUGGAGUCGUUGUUGAAAUACCACUCUGAUCGUAUUGGACAUCUAACCUCGGACCAUGAUCUGGUUCAGGGACAGUGCCUGGUGGGUAGUUUAACUGGGGCGGUUGCCUCCCAAAAUGUAACGGAGGCGCCCAAAGGUUCCCUCAGCCUGGUUGGCAAUCAGGUGUCGAGUGCAAGUGCACAAGAGCUUGACUGUGAGACUGACAGGUCGAGCAGGGACGAAAGUCGGGACUAGUGAUCCGGCACCGGCAAGUGGAAGCGGUGUCGCUCAACGGAUAAAAGGUACCCCGGGGAUAACAGGCUGAUCUUCCCCAAGAGUCCAUAUCGACGGGAUGGUUUGGCACCUCGAUGUCGGCUCGUCGCAUCCUGGGGCUGGAGUAGGUCCCAAGGGUUGGGCUGUUCGCCCAUUAAAGCGGCACGCGAGCUGGGUUUAGAACGUCGUGAGACAGUUCGGUCUCUAUCCGCCGCGCGCGUUAGAAACUUGAGGAAGGCUGUCCCUAGUACGAGAGGACCGGGACGGACGAACCUCUGGUGUGCCAGUUGUUCCGCCAGGAGCACUGCUGGUUAGCUACGUUCGGAAGGGAUAACCGCUGAAAGCAUCUAAGCGGGAAGCCUGUUCCAAGAUGAGGUUUCUCACCCCCUCGAGGGGGUAAGGCCCCCGGCAGACCACCGGGUUGAUAGGCCAGAACUGGAAGCACAGUAAUGUGUGGAGGUGACUGGUACUAAUAGGCCGAGGACUUACCACAA